AUUGAACGCUGGCGGCAUGCCUUACACAUGCAAGUCGAACGGCAGCACGGGUGCUUGCACCUGGUGGCGAGUGGCGAACGGGUGAGUAAUACAUCGGAACAUGUCCUGUAGUGGGGGAUAGCCCGGCGAAAGCCGGAUUAAUACCGCAUACGAUCUACGGAUGACAGCGGGGGACCUUCGGGCCUCGCGCUGUAGGGGUGGCCGAUGGCGGAUUAGCUCGUUGGUGGGGUAAAGGCCUACCAAGGCGACGAUCAGUAGAUGGGCGGAGAGGACGACCAGCCACACUGGGACUGAGACACGGCCCAGACUCCUACGGGAGGCAGCAGUGGGGAAUUUUGGACAAUGGGCGAAAGCCUGAUCCAGCAAUGCCGCGUGUGUGAAGAAGGCCUUCGGGUUGUAAAGCACUUUUGUCCGGAAAGAAAUCCUUGGCUCUAAUACAGUCGGGGGAUGACGGUACCGGAAGAAUAAGCACCGGCUAACUACGUG
RNAcentral lists this ribosomal RNA (486 nucleotides) under uncultured bacterium. RNAcentral describes it as "partial 16S ribosomal RNA". It matches the Rfam family "Bacterial small subunit ribosomal RNA", at positions 29 to 507 of the family's 1533-position model. The record is from RNAcentral.